GUAUGUGUGUGUGUGUGUGUGUGUGUGUGUGUGCUCUCAACUCUCUGUCUCCCCUCCCCCCAACUCUCUCUUCUUGUCUCACACCUUAACCUACCUGGCUGCCUCUGUGUACUGCGCAGACACACCCGGCCGCCACCAUUUCAACCAAUCACUGCUCCAACACACAGGCACCCAGGAGGUGUACUUCCUGUAUUUUUUUUUACGAGAAUGGAAUGGGGCUUCAGGCAGAAGAGGGUUUAGCACUCUACUUUGCCAUGGGGGGCCCACACAGGCAACCUCAUGGGUCGGGGUAACCGGGACUAAAGUACUGGAUAAGCUCGAUUUACGACAGAUCUGCCUAUUCAGUAACGGCCUCAGCGAGGACAAGGCAGCGAGAGGGAAAAACAAGGAGGGUUCAGGCGUAAACAUUACGCUUCUCACAAGAGUCAAAGUAUUGAGGGGAGAGGGAAGCUUUAAUUGAUUUAAAAAUGGAGGACAUUUGCUAUGUCAGCGGGACAAUGUGUAAACAGGGAACACAUUUUUGUGUGUUGUGCAAUCCCAUGCUUUUGAGUUGAACUGGACCCGGGGGGGGGGCAACAGACCUUCUCAGCAUACAACAUUCAGGCUCUCCAAAUUAUGCUACAAUGGGUACCAAAAGGCUUAGCUGGAACCCCUUUGAGACUUUAUCAAGCAAAGGCAAAUCUGACUCCAAGCUCCAGCCAGGUGGAAAGAUUUCCCGUGAUCCAAGUCCCAGCCCAGCAAUGACGGCCCAGUCGGAGCGAGAGAGAGACAGUAGGCGAGAGGAAGACCGGAGGAGCGAGAGAGAGACGUUAAAAAUGAGGGACAAAGCCAGAAGCAAAGAAACGGACCCACGGGAUAGGUACUAUGGAAGGGAUCGAGCUCCUGCACUCCGGCCCAGAGAGGGAGAAAGAGAGUGGAGGGAGAGAGAAAGGAGGCAAGGAGAAGACAGAAGCAGGAACGGCAGGCUGCUGUCGAAUCUAGAGGAU
Long non-coding RNA from Gasterosteus aculeatus aculeatus (three-spined stickleback), 986 nucleotides. The record is from Ensembl. NCBI's taxonomy places the organism in Eukaryota, Metazoa, Chordata, Actinopteri, Perciformes, Gasterosteidae.